Molecule: long non-coding RNA, 1324 nt
Organism: Bactrocera neohumeralis
Lineage: Eukaryota; Metazoa; Arthropoda; Insecta; Diptera; Tephritidae
Exons: 2
Source: RefSeq, a predicted model, not a curated record
CGGCAAAAAAAAAACCCACGCAGUAGAAAAUUUUCUAAUAUUCCUAUUUUGAACUGUCAAUAUUUGCUCAAAAUUCACUAUUUGUCUUAUUUGGCUGUUUUGUCAUGCGGCUACAUUAUUUUACUUUUAUUGUUAAAAGCGUUAGCGUCCGCACGUGUUUAUUACAGAAUUUGCGGUAUUUUCUUUUGAAUAAGUUGUGAAAACAAGUAAAGUUGAACAUGGUGGGGUCAACAAAAAAGAAAUCAGAAAUCGUAGCUUUAUAUAAAAUAAAUUAUCCAAAGGUCAAAUAGCUCGUGAAAUGGGCAUAAGGGAUUAGAACGUGCGUAUUAUAAUUAAAAAUUAUACGUAUUUUAAUUGAUUAGCUCGAAAAAAGGGCAGUGGACGUCCGAAAACAGUAAAACCUCGUCAAGAACGACAAAUUAAACGGAUGUGCAUUAGUGAUCGCUUUAAAUAUGCUGGAACAAUCAAUGACACAUUUUAUGAAACCACUGGGGUAAAAUUAACUACAAGUUCUUUGCAAGAUGUGCUGAAUAAUCUUGGAGUCCGACCGCGACGUCUAGCAAAAAAGCCACUUCUCAACACGCGAAUGAAGAAACAGCGACUAGAGUGGGCAAAAUUACACAAAACUUGGACUACAUCAGAUUAGGGAAAUGUUAUUUUUUCUGAUGAAUCGAAAUUUAAUUUGUUGGAACCCGACGGAAAUGCCACAGUGCGUCGUAGGAAAGGGGAGCGUUUUUUCGAAAACUGUAUUUGGCCCACCGGAAAGCAUUCGCCUUAUUUAAUGGUGUUGGGAACUGUAACCAAGUUUGGUGUUCGGCCGCUAAUUAUUCUAAAAAGAUCUGUGAAUGCCGAAAUAUAAAUUGGAAUUUUGAGAGAAGGCGUUUUGCCAACUAUUGAACAGCUGUCCGAACACGCCCAAAAAAUUUAUUUUCAGGAUAUUUCAGCCCCUUGUCAUAGAGCCAAAGCGGUUUCAAAACAAAAAGAUUUUUGUGGAAUAAUGUCUCUCACGUGGCCAGGAAACAGUCCAGAUCUCAAUCCAAUUGAGAACUGCUGGCAUUAUUUGGGCAAAAUGAUGGGCAAAAUGAUAAGAGAAAAGCGUUCAAAAAGUCUAAAAGAAAUAGAAAACAUUAUUGAAGCUGUGCCAAAUGAAGAAAUCAAUAAAAAUUAUCUUCAACGGCUUUUUGAAUCGAUGCUUAAACAAAUAUCCGAGGUUAUUAGAAGGAGGGGGUGUUCUAACAAAUACUAAGAAUUUUUUUAUGCAAAAUUUGUUAUUUUGAUUCGUUAUGUAUUCUAAUGCUAAAUAAAAAUCAUAUAAAACAUAAAA